UAGGGAAUCUUCCGCAAUGGGCGAAAGCCUGACGGAGCAACGCCGCGUGAGUGAUGAAGGUCUUCGGAUCGUAAAACUCUGUUAUUAGGGAAGAACAAAUGUGUAAGGAACUAUGCACGGCUGGACGGUACCUAAUCAGAAAUCCACGGCUAACUACGUGCCAGCAGCCGCGGUAAUACGUAGGUGGCAAGCGUUAUCCGGAAUUAUUGGGCGUAAAGCGCGCGUAGGCGGUUUUUUAAGUCUGAUGUGAAAGCCCACGGCUCAACCGUGGAGGGUCAUUGGAAACUGGAAAACUUGAGUGCAGAAGAGGAAAGUGGAAUUCCAUGUGUAGCGGUGAAAUGCGCAGGGAUAUGGAGGAACACCAGUGGCGAAGGCGACUUUCUGGUCUGUAACUGACGCUGAUGUGCGAAAGCGUGGGGAUCAAACAGG
This 429-nucleotide ribosomal RNA is filed under the name Actinomycetes bacterium. RNAcentral's name for it is "Actinobacteria bacterium partial 16S ribosomal RNA". It matches the Rfam family "Bacterial small subunit ribosomal RNA", at positions 355 to 776 of the family's 1533-position model. The record is from RNAcentral. Lineage: Bacteria; Bacillati; Actinomycetota; Actinomycetes.